RNAcentral lists this long non-coding RNA (3696 nucleotides) under Zostera marina. RNAcentral describes it as "long non-coding RNA (ZMAR_LNC002724)". Lineage: Eukaryota; Viridiplantae; Streptophyta; Magnoliopsida; Alismatales; Zosteraceae. The record is from RNAcentral.
AGAUCAGAAGAUGAAGACCGGAGAUUCAAGCAAUGACUGAUGAAGAUUAUUGAAGAUGAUUUCCCUUGAAAGUAUGAACUUCUGUGGAAAUAGAAAUAUAUUGUUUAUAUAUAAGUUUGGUGAAUCUCAACGGAUAUAUAUCUGGUAUUAUAUGUUAUGUAAAUAUGUGUAAAAAUAAAGGUAAGUGUAUAAUGUAAAGGGAAGCUUUGACCAACAGGUUGACAAUUUGAACAGAUUUGAUGAAAUAGCCACAAUCUUGACCAAAACACAAGGUGGAAUUGGUCAAGCAUACAUCUCAAACUGCACCAAGAUUAAAAAGAAAAUAGACGCACGUGGAGGGGUUGAAAUUGGUCAACCAGCCUAAUCUUUACCAAUUAAGUAUUGUAGUAGAACUAUCAAGUCAAAUAAUAAUGUCGUUCGGGAGUUGGAACGUCUAUGGAUUAAAUAAUCGUGUGAGAAAGGACGAGGUUAAGAGGUUUGUCAAGAAAAUCAAAUUGGAUCUAUUUGGCCUAUAUGCGACCAAAAUUAACAAGAUCAACUUUGCGUAUUGCAGUAAGAUUUUUGGAUAAAAUUUCUCGAUGAUAUCAAACAAGGCCGAAACAGAACUACGACCAGACUCUAUCUGGUUGGUAUGGGAUGUGAAUACCUGUGAGAUUGAGAUCACUAUUUUGCACGACCAUUUCAUACACUACUUUGCCAAAAACAAAGGGGGGUUAACCAUACAUGUCACAUUAGUUUAUGCCUCAACCGAUUGUCAAAGGAGAGAUAAAACGUGGGACGAGCUGAUAAAACUAAGUAAAACGAUUACUGGACCAUGGAUUCUACCGAGCGACUUCAAUGAGAUCAGAAGUAGGGAAGAUAGGAUAGGAGAACAUGCCACAUUUAAUAUGCAAAACAUAAGGAGAUUCAACCAAGCAAUAGACAAUGCAUGUCAGUUAAGAGAUCUCCGAUCCAUUCGAGGUAACCCAACAACAUGGACAAAUAAAAGAGUAGGAGAACAUAAGAUCAACAGUAGGAUCGAUAAAGGGUUUGGAAAUGUUGAACUCUUCAAUCUAUGACCACUCCGGGGGCACGUCAGACCACCAUAGUUUGACUAUCGACUUUAGGAUCGUUCAAGAGAAGAAAAAGCCUUUCCGGUUCACCAACUCAUGGCUUAAAAAAGAAGAAUUACAAGGGAUAUAAGUCAGAGAUGCCUGGCAGAUUUAGGUAUGGGAGACUCCGAUGUAUAUAUUCACCAAAAAGCUAAACAAUGUGAAAAGGGUACUUAAGAGGUGGAAGACAUCGGAGGACCAAGCAAGGUGGAGGAUCGCCCAGACUGAGAAAGAGAUUCACAAGAAUGAAAGCUUGUUGGAGGAAAGCUCAUUUGAUGCAACAAUACAUGAGAGACUAAGAGGGUGUGUCAGAAACUUAGAAAUCCUAAUACAGGUUCAAGAGAAGGAUGCAAGACAGAGGAGUAUGGCAUAUAUAUUGGCUUCAACUCGGAGACAAGAACACCAAAUUCUUCGCAACCAUGACGAAAAGAGAAAAAAUCUUAACUCCCUAUAUAGGAUGCUAGGGCCCAAUGGAAAGGUGAUGGUCUCGAGAAAUGAGAUGGAGGAGAAGACACUAGAGCACUUAUAUGCCGAGGGCAGGGAGAGUUUGACUAGCACCCCUAGAAAUUUUACAAAUACAGUCAUAGACCAGCAAAAUGCAGAUCUAGAAAAAAUACCUACAUACGAAGAAAUUAAGAAGGUAGUUAUGGACUUAAACCCAAACAAGAGUCCUGGCCCGGAUGGUUUCAAAAAAGCGUUUUUUAGAGUUUUUUGGAGUACCAUGGAGAAGGACCUUGUAAAAGCCAUACAUGGAGGGGGUAUGGACCACUAGCAUUAAGAAAUUUGGCAUAGCACUAUGGAGGGCUAGAUGGGGUAAGAUAUCGAUGAAAGUUGACUGGGCGAGAAGAAGGAGAGGGGGAAACACCGACUGCAUUUUAUGUGGAUGACCAUGAGAGUCGUAAGACCAUGUGUUUUUCAGAUGCAAAUUUUUCAUAGAUUUAUGGUCCUAUAUAUUAAAUGCAAAACCAGAUUUGAUUACAUACACAAGGCUCUCUUUAGAUCAGGUAAUGGCAGAGGUUCACGUCAGAACGAAGAAUACGUCAUGCUGCGACUAACAUGGGCAUACACGGCUGCGACAGUCUUAGGGAUCUGGACCGAAAAAACAAGAGAGUGCAUGAAGACAGAUGCGUGGCCGCAGGAGAUAGGGAGACGGAUAAUACAUGACAUAUCAAACACCUUCAGGAUGAGAAGGUACAAGGCCAGAGAAACGACCCAAGAACAACAACUAGCGGAAACAUGGGUCAGAAGCGCCCAAACGAUUCCAAGUUAAUUUAUUUAUUGUUAGUACGAUCUAUUUGUAAUUUAAAUUCGAUAGGAACUUGUAUUAAAGAACUGCAAUACUUAUGCUAAUGGUGGGUUGGAAUUCAAAAAUAAAAUUCUGACUCACCAAAAAACAUAAAAGGUAAAAUAUGGGAAUUGAAAUGACCCAAAAAGUCAUAUCCAUAGGAGGAUCUAUCUCUUAAAAGAAGAACCUCAUUUGAAAGUAGAAAUGAUGAGUAAUCACUUGUAUAUAGUGGAUCGAAAGGCGAUGACAGAGUUUUCCCUAGGAAAACGGAAAAGAUGUCAGGAGCACACCAGGGUUUUUCACCCCCCAUUGUCUAAAACCUACUAGGUGAGAACGAUGCGACAUAGUUCGUUCUAGGAAACAUCGAGUCGGUCCCCAAAGGUUGCUGAAGGCCUAAACGAUCGUAAGAUCACUUGGCUAGAUAAAUGCGAAAGGUGUGGGGUGGAUCGCAUGUGAUCACACUUUUUUUUUUUGCUUUGAAAUUUAUAUAUAGAUAGUUUUAAUUUAAAAAAAAAGGUUGACAAUGGAUCCGUCUCAUACUCUCAUACAUAAUAAUUAAUUAAUAAGGCUAACAAUUUCAUUUUGUCUUAAUCUUAACUGUGUUUAAAUUUCUUAAUGACAUAAACUAAGGGUGAGCCCUGCCCCGAUGGUAACCGGGGUCGGGGCAAAAUAUCUGCCCCGAAUUUUUAAUUUUUGCCCCGUGCCCCGGUCAUAUUCUGGGACGAGUCUCGGGGCAGGCUCAACCCCGGCCGGGUCGCCCCGUUUUAUAGAUAUAAAUAAAUAUAUUAAUAUAAUAAUAUCCUAUAAAUAUAAUAGUAUAAAUUAUACUAAUAUUCUGGGCCUAUCUAAAAAUACAAACUAAUAUUCUGGUAAAACCUAAUAUCUCCAACUCUCCAUCUUCAUCGUCCCCAAAACGACAAAACCUAAUAUUUAGAAACGGCAAUUGCUCAUCUGAUUCUGAUUCUGGUAAAAAAUGUUUCCAUAUUUCCGUUACAAGUUAUAUUUCCAUAUUUCCAUACAAGUUAUUCAAUAUUUCCGUAAAAAAUGUUGAGGUACCUCUUGGCUCUUUCCAUCGAAAAAAAUGUUGUGUACCUCAGGUUUUUGAAGUUUUCUUUUAGUGUAAACUCAGCGAUUCUGGACUAUAAUACAGGGCAGCCAAAAGAAUUAGAGUUGAUUUUGAUCAUAGGCUAUUUAUAUUUACAUUUCCUCAACGAAAAAAUGUUUGAUCAUAUUCCAGAUCUUUUAAAUAGACAGUUCUCUGUGAAGAGCAUUUUAGCUAAUCUUUGUUGUGGAUGUUUCUGAUGGUUUACUUCUUCUAAU